Cavia porcellus (domestic guinea pig) is the source of this 6277-nucleotide long non-coding RNA. RefSeq lists it as uncharacterized. The transcript has 3 exons. The record is from RefSeq and is a predicted model, not a curated record. NCBI's taxonomy places the organism in Eukaryota, Metazoa, Chordata, Mammalia, Rodentia, Caviidae.
GAGCUGCUGGGAGAGUUAUGGGUCCUGGAAGGCAGAGAGGGAGAGGUUCACACCGCGGGAGGUAUCUGCGACAGAGAGGAAUUAGAGCUGCUGGGAGAAUCAGGCAUAGGGGGAGGGGAGAGCGGUCCAGCAGGAGGUAACGGCAGGGAAUGAGUUUGGUGGUAGGCAGGUGGUGGCCGGGAAAACAACAGAGGGCAGGAUGGAAAAGUUUGCGGCGCAGUAGACUUAGCUAAAAGUAUCUCAGCGGGAGCACAAGACUUAAUGAGAGAUGGGCGUGUUCUCAGAAUAAGAAGGGCUUGGACAUAAGGGAGUUCUAAUAACUUGUUGCCAGCUUGACAAAAAUCAUACAAGUUCCUGAGAAUGCAGGGGUCAAAUGUUCCUUUUUUGGGCCAAGGCUUGCCGAUAAGCGGAUAGGUUGGCCAGACCUCCUGGCAGUAAAAAGUUAGUUGUUUAGUUUUUAUGGUACCUUUAAUUUUUAGAGUACUUAAAUUGGAAAUUAGGCAUUGUAAAGGCGUCUUUUGGGAGUUAGAAAAUACGUUCCCCAUGACUGAUUCAGGCAAGAAAAAAACCGGAGGUCCAGAAAAAGUCGUCACUUAUUUGUGGUACCACGCGGCGGCUACGGUUCCAAAAACUCGUAAAUUCCAGUCGUCACUGAGAGAUUUACGAAUGGAGUCUACAUGGGGUCAGUAACAGUUUUGCCCGUGAAAGCGCAAGGCUUUAAGGGAAGUGAGGCAUUCUUUCAGUGUGGGCGGUCCCAAAGAUCCCUGCUUUGGGCUAUCCAAACCCAAAGAACGUGAGAGAUUUUGUGGACGCAGGUUUGCCCAGAAAGAACCCUGCCCUGGGCAGUCCUAAGGACAUGAAAAUACACAGACCCACGCAGACGGGGAGAACAUUCCACUGGGGCUGCCCAGUGCGAAAAGUUCCCCAGGGAGUGCUCACCUGAAAUCAGUCUGGCCGAUGUGGAGUGCAGGCGGCUGGCGACAGGAACGUCUCGGGAGAGGAAAAAGUUCGGGUUUAAUCCAGGAUGUUAUCUGGUUAUCGGCGAGGAAACUCUGGGUAUGUGGCCCAAGAGUCAGUUGCCUGCCGAUCGAGUCAUGGCACCAAAUGAUAGAGUUAUUUCCAAAAGAUGAAAAAUAUUAACAAAAGAUGAGAAAUAUAAAAUAAAAAGCGGCCUUUAUUCUGAGAACACGGAGAGAGAUGACCGGCACCCCCACUGCUGGCGUCCAGCGACCUCUCCGGCGGACACGUGGUGUGGGGGCCUGUAAAUAGCCUCGGUUUGGGGUGAAACCUAAGGCGGGCAUUAGGGAUAUACAGGUAGCCCAUUGGUCCUAGGUUUGGCGCCAUAUGUAAAUCCCCAGGGGCGGGAAGAUGGCGUCACAGGUAACUUCCUAGGGGCAGGGCAAGAUGGGGCUUCCUGCUUCCGGUUGUGGCUUUCCUGGCUACAGUGUCGUGUCUGGGCCAAAACCUUUCAGUGAGUUCGAUCCCCAGUACCAAUAAAAAAGAAAAGACAAAAAAAAUAAUGUAAUUAGAAAUAAAGUGUGAAGCUCAGUGUGGUAGCGUGUGCCUCUAAUCCCAGCACUUGAGAGGCAGAGGCAGGAGGAGGAUCACUGAAAAUUCAGGCCAGCCUAGGCUACAAAGUGAGUUCAAGCCCAGUCUCAUCUAUAGAGCAACACCUUGUCUGCAAAAAACAAAACAAAAACCCCUGGAAAUAAAGUAUGAAGUUUUCCUAGAAUGUACACAUUACUGGGCUAAUAUUCACCUUUUGCUGGACUAAUACAUUCCUGAUAGCCUUAGUAGCAUCUUUUGGCGGGAGGAAUUAAUAUGCAAGAGUUCUACCCUGUUCACAAUUUGUCCUGAGACAAGUGCUGAAACGUUUUGCUGGUCAAAAUCCAAAGGGUAGUGGGUUUGACGAGGAGUUCUGAAGCUGAUGAGUACCAAGGUAUGGCAGCAGUAGGUCAGCAGGCCGUCUCAUUGUUCAUACUGUAAUUACAGGUCUCCUUGUACUUCUGAGGUGGCAUAUUAUUGGUCCUUAAGGUUUGUUCGUAUUUAAUCUCUCUUUGAUGUCAUAAAUGAUGCUGAUUUUAUGAUCGCCUAGGUGACAUAGUUGUUGCUCUGAACUGGUUUUCUUGGGAUGUCAGUAUCUGAAUUGCCUUGGCGUCACUAACAGUAGAGAAGCCCCUUACUGCAGAACUGAGUAUUGGGCCAAAUCCCCUGCCAUCCUGCAUCCCAAGUGAGUGGAAGUGAUUGGAUCCUCGGUGACAGGCAAAGGUCAGUGCUUAGUCAUUCCCAGAGAACACAACUGAAAAUCAGCCUUUAACUAAAGAGCCCUCCAUACUAGAGACAAGGCUUUCCACUCUAGUUCACAAGGCUGACAGAGAAAGAUGAGCAAAAGAAUGAGAACACAAGCCAAUAAAAUGCCCCAAAGCUCCCAACUUCCCCAACUGAUCCAUGAGGCAUCAAAAGAGAGCAAACCAAAAGCCACACAGCUGAAUCAUGUGAAAUGAUGUCAGAGGAGAUAACAAGACAGAUCAAUAAGGCAUUUGGAAAGCUCACACAAGAAAUUAGCAAACAGAUAAUGGGCCAAAUGAAACAAUCAGCAAGUCUAUGGGAGACAUUUUUUAAAAGUGCUAGCAAAGGUAAAUAAAAUGAUGCAAAACAUAAAUGACCAGCAUAGAAAAGAGUAAGAGUUCAUAAAAACACUCUAAAUAGAAAUUUAGGAGAUUAAAAAUUCUAUCUAAAGUAUGGGCAACAGAGUAGCCAAUGUGAGGACAGAGGGUCAGCACUAGAAAUUAAGGCUGUGGUCAGUGACCAGUUCAUGAAAGAUACAGGUAUUCCUCAUGAACAACUUCUCAUAUGGCUGUACAGUUAUGACUGAGGCUCACUGUUUCGACUUAACAACUGGCCUUUUUUGGUACAGUUCUGUACAUCUUGUUUACACAGCCUCAGUGCCUUUUUUUAUGGUACCAGGGAUCAAACUCAAGACCUACAGCUUUCCAGGCAGGCGCUUAUGCUGCUGAGCUAAAUCCCUAGCCCCCAUGAUUCACACUGUUAUAAUAAAAAUGAUAAACCAUCUUAUUACUCAUCGCAUAAGCUGUACUGAAUUAUACUAACAUGUAAAAUAUAAAACAUCGCUUUCUUCACAUUUAGGUAACACACCAGGAACUAAUGGGAGUAAUAACAUCUGGAUUCCAUGGUAGCCAGCACAGGUGAGGUCUAAGGAGGGAUUAGGAAGGCCCAGGAAGAUGGAAAUCUGCUGGGCUAGAGGAGGACGGAGGGCCUGUGGUUGAGCCAACACUUCCCUUCACCACUCCCCCACUCCUCACCUCUCUCCACACUCAGGAAUCCUUUGUGAUGCCUCUGGACUCCUCACCCUCCCCCACUCAUCACCCCUCACCCACUGGUCACCCCUCCCUAGACUCAGGAGCCCUUUGUGAUGCGUCUGGAAUCCCCAAUUCCCAAGAGAACUCUCAGACUUCAGUUGCCUGAGGGUAACACUACAGUUCAGAUGAUAAGGAGGUUUUCUCCUGAAAAUCCUGGACAAACCCCAGUUCCACUCCUCGGGCAACAGAUGUCAUCCCUGCCUCUGCUGUGGACUGGUGGUGCUCACCUCUGGACCAGGCUAGCUUUCCGGCUAACUGGCAAAAAGAACACUAGAAAGGUUCCAAAGUCUAGAAGGCAUCCAUGGAAGGGGACUGAGAGAUUACAUGACCUACAAAUCACACUUCCAACAUCUCCAAGGGAGAAUUAUAAGGAAUUACAAUGCAGCAGAGGCCCAACCUAUGCAGUUUGAGUCUGGCUCAUCUCUACAAGGAACAAUCAGAACUGUGGGCCACUGCAUUUAGUCAUAGAAGGGAUGCAGGAAACAGAGGCCUUCACUGUGGGUUUGUAGACCAGGCUCGGUGUGUUUUUCUUGCAUAUAAUUUUCAAAACUUAUAUUAAUUGUCAAUCAUUUAAAAUUGGGGCAGUUCUCAUACCAUUCACAUUUCCAGCUUUCCAGGAAGAGCCAGGAGCUUUGGCAGAGGUUGGCUCUGCUUUCUCCCUAGUGGCAAUGCCUAGUGCUGCAGACCCAUUGGGGUACAGCUGCUCGGUUUCUUCAGUGUAUAGCAUCUGUUCAUUUUAGGCUCACAAGCUGUUGACCUCAGGAUUUGGAACCACAAGUCUCCAAGAAUGAAUAUAGAUGCUUGUGAAUAUAGAUUCCUCCUACUGAGCUGUGGUCUCCACACCCAGUAUUAUCCGUACACUGAGCUGGUUAGAAAUGCAGAGUUCAGGCUUCAUGCGAGACCACUUCCUUUUCAUUAGACCCCCAGGGGUGCCUGUGUACAUUAAAUCUCUGACACUGCGGUCUUCUCUGCUCCUUCUGCAAUCCCUUGACUUUAAGAGGUUCAGCUUUAUUAACUUUUGAUCCAGCACAGAGCAUCUCUGCAUUUUACUGAGAGAUAAAAACAUCCCAUGAUGGUGUUUGAAUGCAUCUGUUGAAGACAUGCUUAUGAAUAGCACCUAGUUUGAGGCACUGUAAAUGUUCUUUCAAUUCCUCUAAAGGAACUGAAAACUAUCAUUUCCUUUUGUGGUUCUUUUUAUAAGUGAAGGAAUGUUGAAAUUAGUGGAAAAGAACACUCAUAAGAGGAAUAAGUGCUAGGAAGCUGCAUCUAUGCUUCCUCUUUUUCAAUUUAAUUUACUCAUUUGGCCAUAUUUAUAAGUACUUUCAAUUUAGUUUGGUGUGUGUGUUCUAGUUUAGGAAUAAUAAUGUAUAAUACACUACAUCUUGGCUUUCUCCUCUAUAAAAUGGGGGAACAGAAAACCUGCCUAACUUACUGGGCUGUCACAAGGAUUAAAUACGUUCAUAUGUGUAAGUAAAAUGUUCAGAUCAGAGCUGAAAUACAGUAAGUGCUCAUCAGUGCUAGCUCUUAUUAUUAUUAGCUGAGCUUACUCAGGUUUUGGUGUAAGUGUCUGGAGUUUACAGGGUGGAACUUAACAUUCAGAAAAGGGGGUUUAGAACAAGAAGCAGGAGGUGGUGGUGUACACAGCAGUGCUUUUGAAAUGAUCUCACUUACCACUUCACUUGGUCAUGCAGUGACUCUGCAUUAAGUAACCACCCCUCCUUUGGGGUUACAUUCUCAGUGACUUACCGUGGAAGAGGCAGAGGAGGAGAAAAACACCGAGAAAGACAGUUCUUGUCAUCCCAGUCAAAAGGAAGGUGGAGGGAAAGGCAUGUCCCACCUUUAAAGCUUUCCUGGGGGAUAAUAUAAUUACACAUUCAUGUUUGCAAUUUUCAAAAGGGGGAAAGGCUACUAAGCUUCAUCUAUUUCAUUGAGGAAGUACACAUAAAAAUUUUGUGAAAGAAGAAAAAUCAGCCAUUUGUCUUUAUAAAAAAUUUCCCAUAAAUCAUCUAAUUUCAGAACCCUUUAAAUUGAAAUGUCUUAUCACUGAAUACUAUUUCCUUUAUUUUCCCCUGAAUUAUAAUUGUUUAAUAUAAAAAUAUGAAAUGAAGUAGAUGAUGCUUCUAAAAUAAUUUCUUGUUAGAAAUCCUAACUAGUGGUUAAGCGGCAAACUUUCAUUUGAGUUUCUUCAAAAACUAAUGCUUUCUUCCAGGCAUGAUCACACACAUCUGUAAUCCUAGCACUCAGCAUGCUGAGGCAGGAGGAUCACCUCAAGUUCAAGGCCACCCUGGCAUAAAUAGUGAGUUAAAGGCCAACCUGAACUACAUAGUGAAACUCUGUCUCAAAAAUAAAUAAAUAAUAAACUAAUACUUUUAUUGUGAAAGUUCAUACAUAUAAUGAAAAGUAUCAGCUGAGAGUUAACAGAAGUUGGUAUUUAUUAAAAUGCAAGAGAAGGAAUUGUCAGAGUGCCAAAAAUAUCCACAUCUGGUAUUUAUAACCUACCUAUCUUCUUCAUGAAUUUUCCCAAUUUGAAUGUCGUUAAAAGGUUGGGAAAAAAAAUUCCUGAUGAACUGAAUCCAGUUAUAACUGAAAUCAACGACAAGUGCCUAAGUUCCAAACGGUUUAAACAGUAAAAAUUGCCCAAGAAAACAGGCAAAUUUUAUACUUGAACAGUCUCCUCUGUGUGGAACUUAAUCUCUACUUGUUAAAUGAAUAUAAAAAGGCCAAGUCAGUUGAUAAUGAAACUAUAAAACUGGCAAAAGGUUUGCUAGUUAAUUAUUUUGGAUAUACAAAUCUAUGUUGGUAUUUUGUUGAUUAUAUAAAGUAUGCAGUUUGACUUAUUUUUGCUUUUUGGUGCUGGGAAUGGAGCCCAAGGUGUCAUGUGUGCUAAAUGCCUGCUU